GUUUUACAAAGGAACACCACACUUGCCUCCAGCAGCUGAAUGGAUUUCACAUUACUCUGAUCUACUGAUGUGUUCAUGUGUCUUCUUGGACCUUUGGGAGAACACAACAAGAUGCUAAUGGAUGCUUCCUGUCCUUAGCUCAUCUGUCUACCAGUUUCAGGGCACCCCUGUGUUCAGACUGAUGGGAAACAUAGCUAUGAAGCCAGCUGGAUCCAGGCCCUUUUGGAAGGGUUCUGAAGGAGAAGGGGACCACUUGUCGCCGCUGUAAUACACAUCUGCUCUCCAGUGCCUCUUCAAACUCACAGGACUCCUUCCCUUCCCCCAGCACCUCCUAAUGCUAACCCACUAGCUGAGCAGGAGAGGGCUGAUGAUGUCGUUGAUUGAUGAUUGAGGAAACUGAAGCUCCUGAAACUAGCUUGGCUAUCAGUGACUUCUAAAGCAGGGCCUCAGUUUUGGUGACUCCAAGCUCAACUCCAAAUCAGAGGUAUGGAUAAGUCUUUCUUCUUCUGCAGACCUCCCCACUGACUCCCACCUGCCCUGACCUCAGGCUGAGAGGGUCCCUGGUGAAGGUGACAAGAGGCCACUUUUGCUGGUGGGACCCAGGGCCUUCACACCCCUCCCAUGCUGGCCACCUCUCUUCUGCCAUGUCUGAGAUCCUGAAACUGAUUUUGCUUUCUCCAUCUGCAUGUCAAAUGCUAGUGACUGACCAGAGAUUUGAACUCACAUGGAGGGGAGGUUGAAAGUCCCAUCUUUCUCUGUGCUCUGGAUCUGGUUUAAUAGCCUCCUGGGCUAGGGAGUGGCUCAGUCAGUAAAGCACUCGAUUUGCAUGAAGGCCUGAGCUCCACCUCCAAACCAUGUUAAUAAAGCUGAUUCUGGUGGCUCAGGCCUGUAAUUCCAGCAGAGAUGGGAGGGACCCUGGGCUAGCUGGUCAGCCAAGCCAAUUUGGCGCAUUCCAGUGUGAUGAGAAACUGUCUCAAAAAAAGACAAAGGUGGACAGAACUUGAGAAAUGACACUAGAGGUUGUUUUCUGGACUCCAUAUGCACACUUGAAUACACACAUAUACCCACACACAAAAAUGGAAGAAAGGGAGGAAGGAGGCAAGGAGGGAGGAAGGGAGGGAGGGAGGAAGGGAAGUCUGUCCUCUCUUGAUUCCUGCUUGGAAAGCAACAAAAGUGGAGGGUUACAUGGGUAGUUUAUAGGGCAAGGCCUGGGGCCCUGGCCUGGGUCAGGAAGCAGCAGUGGGAAUGCCAGAUGCCCAGCUUUCUGAGUCUAAGGUCCACAGACUUGGUAUCAGCUAAUCACUGAUGUAACGUGACCAGAAGACUCAAUGUUCUUGCUGCCAGGACUUCCUGGACAUGGUAGA
Molecule: long non-coding RNA, 1364 nt
Filed under: Cricetulus griseus (Chinese hamster)
Lineage: Eukaryota; Metazoa; Chordata; Mammalia; Rodentia; Cricetidae
Description: lncRNA (ENSCGRG00015032622.1)
Source: RNAcentral